RNAcentral lists this long non-coding RNA (614 nucleotides) under Setaria viridis. Its description in RNAcentral is "long non-coding RNA (SVIR_LNC003857)". The record is from RNAcentral. Lineage: Eukaryota; Viridiplantae; Streptophyta; Magnoliopsida; Poales; Poaceae.
CAUACAUGAUAACAUGGCGCACUUUUGACACACACGUGCGAAUCAACUGUUACAAAUUGUUUCAGGGGAUCGCCGAUAGCGACGGUUCUCUUCUCCAUCAUCCCAUCCUCCACACCGUAGAGCAGGAAAUGAUCCGGAAAAGCAACCGGAACGUUCCACUUCCUGGACAGGGGAUAAGCACACCACCGUGGUGCACUGAUGAACUUGCAGUUGUUCACCGGAGAUUACAGCAAGCCUCUGCCACUGACGACGUAUUAUCAUGAGACCUCACACAAUGUCAUAGCACAGUAAGUAUUGACCGACUCAACUUUUCUCUCGAAUCGAUUUGUUCCCACGGUGUUGAUUAAUGUCGUCACCAGCCGUCAGCUAGGAACAGGACACGCACGAGAGGCGUCGUGGCGAUGAGGAGAAGCAGGGAAGAAUGGCAGAUGCAAUGGCGCGGGCCAGGGACAUCGACGAGGAGGCAGGCGAGGGUGAAGACGGCGACGACCACGGACAUCAGCGUGCUGAGGGCGCAGGGGCAGCGUCGCCGCCGACGGCAGGGGCCGCAUUACGCGCCCUGCGGUAGAAGCGGACGAGAACUAGAAGCGUGGCGCCGACCGCGACGGCGACGG